Molecule: non-coding RNA, 9916 nt
Organism: Cordylochernes scorpioides
Lineage: Eukaryota; Metazoa; Arthropoda; Arachnida; Pseudoscorpiones; Chernetidae
Source: the annotation of a GenBank genome assembly
GAUUCUGACAACUCAAUUAUGAUUUUUUCAUAUUGACGGAGAGAUAUAAUCUGUACAACAAAUGUUAAACUUUACUCAUUCCUUGAUUUCAAAAUGAGAAGGGAGGCGCUAUUUAUAUUAUCCUUUCCACUUUUUCAUAUUAUCAUUGGUAUUAUGGCCUUUCUCAGCGGUACAUAAGAGGAAUCUGAUUAUUUUAACUGUUUUUCCAUGAUCAUUGAAAUGUCUGGCUUAAAAAUGUUUUCUCCCCCCCCCCCCUUUUUUUUUUUGCAACCAGCCUCGCACUCAUAUAGAUAAUCAAUUUUUUGAAACCGACUUGCUAAGGAAACGAACUGUAGCCCAUAUUAAAAUUUUGUUUAAUUUCGAUUUUGGCGGGUAGCUAUAGCGGAUAGACGAAAAAAACUUGCCGAGUUGUGAGGAAGCGGUCGUUGGUGCGUGCGCACAUCCCGUCACGGAGCGUUUUUCCGCCUUGCUACUCCACAACGGUAGGCAAUUGUGGCGGCACUGUGGUGAUAAAUUAACUUCCUUGUAUACCCCGCAAUACGCACGUGGGAAUAACUUCUCUAAGCGGACGGACCAUCUUGCCAGCGUCCGUCCGUUUCUUUGCCCUUUUGUUACGUCGACUUCCCAUUUUUUUUAAAAAACAAUUAUCCUAUCAUUAAAAAAAAUAUAUAUAUAAAUGUUUUAGGUUAAUCGAUCCAAGUUUUUUUUUUUGGAAGCUUGGUAUUCGAAGUGUGGCGUCGUUCGCUGGGCGACGGCCGCCAUGUUGUCCCUCCCUCCCGCUCCAAACAUUCUUGCGGCGUGAAACCCGAGCUCCCGCUCAAGGCCAGAUGGCAGGCAGCGGUGGUGGUGGUAUAGCUCGCAGUUUGUCUUGGGCAAAUGUCAUCAUCCUGUGAUAUUUUCUUCAGCACCCACCAUCAGGGGGGCCCGCCCCCCUUAUCCCACGAUGUCACUCACCACCGCAUUCUUGGGCAAAUUCCUUCUCCCUCUCCACGGACCUUGGCGCCAUCCGUUCCUUUCCUCCUUCGGGUUUCUUCCUCCUUUUCGCUACUCUUGUAGGAGGAUGAUUGCCUUAGAAUGACGCUGCUGAGUAUGUUGUCAUAACUGUGGUAUUAAAAAAAAAAAAACACUUUUGAUUCUCUGUCGUCUUGUCCAUAACGAAAGUGUGUAGACCAACACCUAUUAGUUUUCGUCUCAUUGUAGGUUUUGCCAACUAUUUUUUUAAAUUUAUUUUACAUCUUUCAGGUUGUGGGAACAAGAGAGCUACUUCUCUCUCGAAUUAUUUCAUCGUCAUUAGUGAAAAGCAAUCAAGUUAACACUCUCCCAAGUUAAAUAACACGAAUGUAUCGCUCGGCUCUUCCCGCCCAACAAGAAAGAAGGGAUGGGCGGACGACACGUGCGGUGGGUGCUGUUGGGUGCUAUUUGCGGCUCGGUGGUGCGUUCACCUCCGUCCUCCAUUGUUUGUAAACGUCACCACGGUUGGCUCCUUGCACAACCGGCGGUGGCGGCAAUCUUGUCGUGCCGUCGACCUCGCUCAUUUUAUGCCCUGCUGGAUGGCUUUACACAAAGUUAUGCCAAUAAAGGCCAACUAAUUAUCCUUGUAUGGAUUUGUAUAAAGUAUCCUAAAUUAGUCGGAAACAUACCUCGAAUUCUCACUGCUCUCUGGACUUUUAUACAAUAUGCCAGCUUGUGGAUCGCCAGGAAAGGUUGAGGCAAUAAGGUGAUUGUUUCAGGCAGCAGGAGGCCCGCAACAUCCUGGAGACACUGAAGGCGGUGUGGCCCAACCUCGACGAUGUCAACAGUGUGAUGGCCGUCAUGGGCCGCCUUAUCCACGAUCCAGGUACACUUGAACUCUGUAACGCUCGUAAAACAUUGGGAUGCUUUUUAUGUAAUGUAAUGACCGUUUAUUAGGUAUUUUAGUUGGGAAAAUGUACUAACUUGUGCUACAGUGACAUAGGUUUCUUUUUAAUUUCAAAAUUUUUAGGGAAAAUAAUUGUUCUCAUUGAAAUAGCAGUUUUCCUUCAUUCAAUCCCACUGUUCCUUUCCUUAGGAACAUUGUGACAGUUUCGGCUUCCAGGAAUGGUGGUGGCACGUGUGUUCUAAAUUUGGGGAGACCCAGAACGUGCAGCUGUCGCGUGCUCGCCCAGCUGCGAGAGGGGAGGGGGGGGGGGUUCCGCUAACAAGUAUUGUUCCCCCCCUCACCUCCAAUCCUUUGGUUGGGUAGGGAGGGAUCAGUUGUUUAAUAAUAUAUAUGUAUAAAAAAAAAAGCGGCGGAGGGAAUACACACGCGCGUGUACCGGUAGAAAGAAGGGCGGGGAAGGUCGGCAUUUGUUUCCGCCUUAAGCUGUGGUUUUGUGACGUGACCUUGCCGAUCUCUCUCUCUCAAUCCAGGUAAUACGGUCACAUUACGUAACGGCACGUACCCCCCCACCCCCCCCCCCCCCCACCCCCCCCCCCCCCCCCCCCCCCCCCACCACCACCCAAACCCCCCCCCACCAACAAAUUAAAUAAAUAAGCGUCGUUAGGUUGGCUGCCGUCGGCACGCUUGACCUUGUUCCUUCCCCACCCCAACCUCCUGGAACCUUGGCUGUUUCCUCACUGAGCAGUUUGAAACAAUUGUUUUGUAAACUUUGGACCAUCUGUGGGUGCCAUGAUGUUAUUUCUACAUAAAAAGAAGCAGUUGACACAAUAGGUUGGAGUUCCACAAACACUGAAACAAAGCUUGGUGUCACUGAGUAACAUCACUAGCAAAUGGCAUUUAGAAUUAAGGCAGUUUAUUAUCAAAUAGAAGAUGGCUACACAUAUGCAUAUAUGGUAUUUGAUUGCCAUUGGUUACUUUCAUCUCCACUGCCAUCUGGCACCUCUCAACAGUAUCACUCUUUUUGAUGUUCACGUAUGCCCAAUGUUUUCUUAGCAACUUUUGGAGUAUCCUGGCAAAUGAUAUUUACAAUAUUUUACAAUAAUUGAUAUAAUUCUCAGCCUGCAACCCCAAGACAUUAUUGACUGUAUUGACUCAUCCAUUGAUGAACUCUACUCUUCCCCGGCAAAUAUCAUCAAAAGUCUCAAGCUUUAGAAGCUUGAUAUCUUAGUGUGAUUGAGUGGAGAUAAGAAAGAAGAAUAAUUGAAAUAUAUUUCCACCUGAUUAGUUUUUCUGCUUUCUUGAUAGGUUCCCCUCCAGAUCUUGUCGCACUUUUAUUCGGAUGUUGUCCUGCAUUCUCUAAAGAAUAUACAGUAAUACCUGGAUGCAUCUUGAUUGAGUUAUUUCCUGCAUAUCUUACUGCUAUUUGGCAUCUUUCACUCUAACUACAAUAUGAUUAAAUUGAACGAUCAACUAGAUUUAAGAUUUGCUAUUUUUGGAUUUCAAUAGAUAUAUUUACAUAUCGUUUGGUUUUCUUUAUUCCCAGUGGAUACUUGAGGCAUCUUGUUACAGGAUGAUGAUCCGAAGCUUUCUUGAAAACUUUUGUUGUAAAUAUAAAGCAAAUUGUGUCAUUAUAAUCUUGUUUUUAAAAUGUAGUUAUAAUUAUAUGCGACUUUGCUCUGUCCUGCAUCUUUCACAUGAUAAUUUCUGUAAUAAUAGUUUCAACAGCUUCUCUGUGAUAUUACAUUUUUGUUUGGAAAUUUGUGUGCUUGAUUUGGAUAGGUUUGACUUCUCUUUUCUCUAGCUCAAUUAAAAUGAAAUAGGCUAGCACCUGAUUAUUUAGUUAUCAAAAAAUCUAUUACUAAAUAGGUAAAGCUAAGGAUAUUGUAGCGGGAGAUAUGCCAAUAUUGAGAUACUUUUUAACAAUUCCCACCGUGCAAGUGUAGUGGGCAAGAGCAUCCACGGAGGAGGUCUGCCAAUGUAAACAGAUAUUUUAUCUUAUCAUAGUUUACAUUAGAGGGGCUCUUGCCUCAGCUGCAGUGUGUGGGCAGAGACCAAUGUGAGGGUAGAGCUCAUCAACCAAAUCCCCCACGUGGCUGUCUUCUGCCACCAGCGGGAGAACAUUCUGGGGCCCUUGAUACGCCAGCACCUCAUCCCACUCCUGGUUAAUGUCUUCUCGGACGACCUGCCCCUCGGUAACUAUUUCUACCACCUACCUACCUACCUACCUACCUAUCUAUCUGUGUUUUACCAUAAUACUAGGGCUAGCAUUCUUUUUUCUUGAAUGGUGCUGAGGGGACUGGUGCUACUUCAUAAUACAGAUUUAGAUGCCAAUUUGGAUUUCAGAUAUGGAGUGGCAAGAUAGGUUGUUAUAUUGCUACCAUCCUACAAGACUAGUAAUGGUAGCAUUGCUGGUACUGAAGCUUUGCAUGUAAAUUACUUGUUAGGGAAUUAAAUGGAGUAAUGGUUGCUUAUUACAUAGUUGACUUUGUGCUGUGUAGGUGAGGAAGUCUAGUCACAAUGCAUUCCUCCUGCUGUUGGAACAAGGGCUGGUGCACAAGAGUAAGUCUAGUUGGUGUUUGUUCUCUGUCACCUAUGGCUAACUUAUUGCCUCAGCCAUGUUGGAGGAGUGGCUCUGUCCCAUGGUGGCCAUGCAGGCUGGGGAGGAGACCAUAGAAGAGGACAGGCGCCUCGAAGCUCUUCUGGUAAGUCUCGGCCUUUUUUUUUUUUGCUUCUGUUGCCAAUUCUUGUAUAUAUUUGCUACUUCUGCUGUGUAACUUGGUUGGUUUCCAACUGGGUUGAUGCUGGAGACCUCGCCGUGAAAGACAUGGGUAGUGAGAUGUGUGGCCGACCCCUUCAUCUCACUAUCUUGUCUUUGACGGGGAGUCCGGCGACCUACGGUCUUGGCAGUAGAGUGUGGCGGGCCGUCAAAGGGGCUGUGAGAUGCGUUUUAUGCUUGCCAUAUCACAGCCACUUUUGAUGAGCCCGCUGCUCCUAUCCUCAUCAACGCUGUCGUCCGCCCCGACCACCAGAGCCAGGAGGGUCCUCACUCACAAAGUGGCGGUGACAUGUCAUGCCGUGCAAUCAUAUCACAGCCAUCUUUGAUGAGUGAGGCCCCUUUCCUGAUGUCUUCCCUACGCGACAGUGCUCCCGAGCAUGAUCGUCAAAGUGGCUGAUGAUGUGUUGCGACCCAAUCGUAUCACAGCCAGCUUUGAUGAACACCCUCAGGGGCUAAGGACUCCUCAGCUACAAGGUAUUUCUCUCUCUGUGCUCGCCUCCCACCUGAACCUUUCUUUAGAAUCUGUGCCAGUUGUGCUUAUCCCUAGUAGGAUGAGGUUGUACAGUAAUAAAGCCAUCUCAUCCUGAUUGUGCAACUAAAAGUUGCUGAUAUGUCACAAUAAAUACCACCUAAUAGUUGAUUUUUAUCAUUAUUCUAGAUAUGCCCAUAUACCUUUUUUUUUUGCUUAUUCCUAGUACACGGGGGUACAGGCCAUGAUAAUCAUGGUGGGUAGUUAGUGACUGCUUUUACUGUAAGCGCCCCACAUGUCUACACAUGUGAAAAGCAGUUCGACUUUGCACUUACAAAUGUGCCAGAGCCCCCGUUUGAUUACUUGCACUCGCUGGUGGGGUUGGACUUUUGCAAGAAUCGGGGGAGCCAUUGGAGCAUUUUUUUUUUAACAGAAAAAGUGUCUAAUGUGGGAAUCGAACCUGGGUCGUAGUGGUCGAAAACCAAACGGUUUAUCCAAUAUACCUUUUCUUGAUUAAUCAAGCAACUUCAAAUACACAAUUUCAAUCUUUUGGCCCUCAUCAGCGUUGUACAGGCUGUACCUUAAUGACCAAAAAAACUGGUCUUUUAGACUUGGUAAAAAAAAAUCAAGGAAUGGGUAUUUGUCAUUAAGUGUGUGAGAAUGCCAAACCAUAGUGAAACAAAAAAAAAAGUGAAAUUGUACUUGGAAUCAGGUUAAUACAUUUUAAGAAAAGUAUCUUCUGAUGGUGCAAACUGUUGUUGAUGGCUUUCACAAUCUGUCGGAUCAAAUAUCAACUUAUCUUUGAUUUUUUUUAAAUAAUUGCAGAGUUGGCAAAAUAAAGAGAUGUCUUAAUCUGGUCCAGUACAAUUUCACUAUUUUUCAUAUACUUUAUUAAAGUCUCAUUAUACCACUUGGCAUUAGCACAAUAGAGAGGUUGCCAUCUAUUUCAGUCUUUCACAAUAUAUUAAUAUUGAAUAAUACAUCUCUCUCAGCAGCACACUUAGAUCACAAAAUACUGAUUAUAUCUAUAGAAUAUUAUAACUGGGAGCUAUAGUAGGUAGUAGCUGCUUCUUGGACACUUGUAAAUUGUGUUUUUUUUUUUUGCUUAUCCCUAGUAACACGUGGCCAGGCCAUGAUAAUCAUGGUGGGUAGAGGUUAAUGACUGCUUUUACUGUAAGUGCACCACAUGUCUACACAUAUCUACGCUGGUGGGGUUGGACUUUUGCAAGAAUCGGGGGCCAUUGGAGCAUUUUUUUUAUAAAAUCGGGAAAAAAAGUGUCCAAUGCGGGAAUCGAACCUGUGUCGUAGUGGUCGAAAACCAAACGGUGUAACCAGCUUUCCACCGACCCCCUUGUAAAUUGUGUGGCUCGCAUCAGUGUACAUUGCAGAGAAGGUAUUGAUCAAUUUUCAACCUAAUUAUUUCCCUUCCCCAAUUGGAUCUUAGAACUUGACUGUUUUGGCAGAUAUGGAGUGUUUUGUAACUAUUUGUAGUUAAUAAAGCCUAUGGUUUGUGUGAUUAAUAAAGUAAAGAUGGAAACUUGGUGUGGGGAGGACAAGACUUGGUUCAAAGUUGUAUACAACAAAACUUGUUGUAUCUACAAUUUAAAAAUUUUCAACAUCUUAGUAUUCCUUUGCAAUCAAAAAGUUAAUUAUUUCAUCAAACUCUUAAUUACCUUGUUUGGAUUUAAUUUCAUUUCCACGCUAUAAUGGUUAGUAGGAGAGGAACUUACUGUCUCAAUUCUUCUCUUAGUCUGAAGGUAUAUUGUUUCCCCCGGUUUUUAUAUGCAGAAUAAUUAUCUCAUUUUAAAACCAAGUUAAUGGCCGUUUUUAUUGAUUGACACCAAGUUGGGUGUUGAAUGAGAUCUCAGCCAUUCUUCAGCCACACUCUGGGGCAAAGUAACAGCUAGCUUUCCACUGACUGCUGUCAUGAUUCAUAUUUUGGGACUGUUGAUUUAGCUGAUCAGUUUUUUUUUUUGUGUUUUCUGUGAACUCUCAGCAUAUGCAAAGAGAGUUUUACAGAUAUUUAUGGCUUUGUCACCGACCUUAAUCUGCUAGUUUCACAAAAAAGUCAAUUUCUGUAUUAUCUAAUUUUGGGGUAACAAUAUUUAAGUCCAUUGAAUAAAAUUCAUGGAUCCUGAACCAACAAGGUAUUCUAGUUAUAAAUGUAAUAUGAUUCUAGAAAUGAUCUUUUAUUUUAAAGAAGCAAUCUCAUUGAAUAGUGCCAUCCACUUACAUAGAGGUGGGUGAUAAAUAUUUACCCAUGGGCAAUCAGGAGUUGUGUUCACAAUUUGAGCUUCAGAUAUAAUUCCUAUUAAAAAAAAACUUGCUUAUAUUGUGAUAACCAUUUAUUUGGUAGAUAAUAUAAUACAUAAUAUGAAAUUGACACUAGUUGAAAGGGAGCCAUCUGGGCACAAGGAUAGCUUGAAAUCUUUGCCUUUUAACUAUUCUAAACCUAUCUGUGUUGCGCUGACUGACAUUACUGUGUCUCUAGUUGUUGUGCAAGGUUGCCUCGUUAGUUGGGCCAGAUUUGACAGAGAAGUUCUUUCUGUCACAAUUCCUCCGUCUCUGCAGCCACCCCUCGCCUGCCAUGCGCAAAGCCUGUGCAAUCAAGAUGGCUGAAAUGUGCAAUGUGAUGGGUACUGCGCUGGUUGAGUCCCAUCUGGUGAGUUAUCCUUCUCUCUCCGCUGGAAAUAUUCUAAACAGAUUCAUUGCAGCUUCCAAAGUUCCUAGAGCUCUGCAGAGACAAUGAAUGGGAGAUCCGCCGCUGUUGUGCCGAAGACUUCAUGGAGAUCUCGUGGGUGUGCCAGCUCUCCACACGUCAUCAUACUCUAGCUCCACUCUUCCUGGAGCUGCUCUCAGACACAGACUAUGUGAGUACCAUUCCUGUCACCCCACAAUGCACUUACUAGGUUGGUUUGUUGCCUUUUAACAAAAUCUAAAUUGGUAUUUUAUUGUAAAAAGUCAAAUUUUUGUCUUCAGGUUAAGUCUGCAGCCUACCAAUCUUUGGGGCCUUUCAUUUCCACAUUUGUUGAUCCCCUGAGCUUCAGCCCACCCCCACUGCCACCUUCUGAGGAAGGAGACCACUCUCUCAUGGAGCUCCAGAAACUUCAGGAGCUCUGUGCGGAGGUCACCCAAGCCCAGCAGUCUUCCAACAUGAACCAACUGCCAGAUGAGGCCUUCAACACAUUCCAGUACUGGAGGGAGCCCUUGCCAGAGGUAGACCCGUCCAUGCUGGUGGGCGGGAAGCCCAACGUGUGCAUAGUCAGGCCCAUGAGAAAAUCCUCUCCGCGGGAGGUGAGGGAGGCCAUGGAGCUGAUCACCAGGUUGGAGGACUUCUCCCUCACCCCCACCAUUGGUUACCAUCACAUGAACCCAGUAGAGUUGAGCGACAAGCUGCUGCCUUACUUCGAGGAGCUCGGCAAAAUUAUCAAUGAUGGGGACCUGGGUAGAAGUCCCACUCAGGUGAGUUUAUUCUACCCCCACUGAAUCCUCUAGUUGCUGCUAGGAAGUCAGCACAAUUGGAUCUAUUACAUGGGAUGUGUCUCCAGACAUUGGCUGUUGUUACAAUAACCAAGUAGGAUAAUGCUAGCACAUAAAUUAAUAAUAAGACUCAUGUUAAAAUAGCAAAACCAGUGCUAAGAUGAAUUUUAAUAAUUAAAUGAUUUUCAGUCUUCUAUAUAGGAGCUGUAGAGGAACAAAACUCUUAAAAAGGUUAUGAACCUUUUCAAAGUACACUCAGGGGAAAAACUUAAGGAAGUGGAAAGUCUUUGAUGUCAACAGUUUUUUGAAGGAGACAGAUGCAAUUUUGUUCACACUUGGUUAUUCCGUGUCUCCUCAAUAAAGAUGUGUGAAUGUGUAUCUUUAAGAGAUAUUGUCAGAAUCCCAAUAUACAUGGUAAAAAGGUAAAACUUUCUCAAGUUUUGUCCAUGAUUGUAAAUUGAUUAAUUGCAUUUUUAGUUCUUAUUUUAGAUUUUGAUACACUUAUAUAGCAACUUAUACAAAGUUUGUUGUUGCAUUCUGCAAGAGUAUAAACAAGCCCCUGAUGCAGGGUGUAGUGCCUCGCCAACUCCUGGAGCACUAUAUCAGCAUGGCAGGAGAGGCCGGAGGUUUGUCAGGCCAAUGUGCCUAUGGCCUGCCAGCUGUGGCGCUCACCCUGCGGCAAGAGGGUUGGGCCUGUCUACGUGUGACCUGGCUAACCCUAGUGGAAGAUGUCCAAUGGCGAGUGCGACGGUCCCUCGCUGCAUCCAUCCACCAUCUAGCUGUGAUCCUGGGCCCUGCCCUAGCCUCAACCGACCUCAUGCCGGCGUUCUGGGUGUUCCUGAACGACCUGGAUGAGGUGCGCAGUGCCCUCCUGGGCCACCUGCACCAUUUCCUCAGGGCCCUGUCUCCAGAAGACAGACAUACCGUCCUCACUCACCUCUCCAUCUUCCUCAGGAUGGAGAACCGCAAUAACUGGAGAUACCGCAUGGCUCUGGCACAGUAAGUGUAGUGGGCAACUCUUGUUUAAAUAACUACAGUAGCAAAUUUCAGCUGCCAUUCCCUCAUCCAAUAUAUCCUAUUAGCACAUAUUAUAUAUCAUUUUGUAAGAAUAAUAGAGAAAGCUACUCGGAGCAUGUGUCAUGGACAGAUAAAAAAAGACAAAUAUUUCAAUCUUAAUGAAAUUAAUUUUAUUAGAUGCUAGAAUGCCCAAAUAUGUAAAUACUUUGGAUACAUAAUGAGAGCAAAUUAUUUAGAAAUGCAAUGAACAACUGGCUAGGAGUCAAGAAAGCUACCUGAAGAUCAUUAGAUAAGCUGAGAGUUAUGAUCACCAAAA